GACGAACGCUGGCGGCGUGCUUAACACAUGCAAGUCGAACGGAAAGGCCCUGCUUUUGUGGGGUGCUCGAGUGGCGAACGGGUGAGUAACACGUGAGUAACCUGCCCUUGACUUUGGGAUAACUUCAGGAAACUGGGGCUAAUACCGGAUAGGAGCUCCUGCUGCAUGGUGGGGGUUGGAAAGUUUCGGCGGUUGGGGAUGGACUCGCGGCUUAUCAGCUUGUUGGUGGGGUAGUGGCUUACCAAGGCUUUGACGGGUAGCCGGCCGGAGAGGGUGACCGGCCACAUUGGGACUGAGAUACGGCCCAGACUCCUACGGGAGGCAGCAGUGGGGAAUAUUGCACAAUGGGCGGAAGCCUGAUGCAGCAACGCCGCGUGCGGGAUGACGGCCUUCGGGUUGUAAACCGCUGUCGCCUGUGACGAAGCGUGAGUGACGGUAAUGGGUAAAGAAGCACCGGCUAACUACGUG
RNAcentral lists this ribosomal RNA (468 nucleotides) under uncultured bacterium. Its description in RNAcentral is "partial 16S ribosomal RNA". It matches the Rfam family "Bacterial small subunit ribosomal RNA", at positions 28 to 507 of the family's 1533-position model. The record is from RNAcentral.